Molecule: ribosomal RNA, 450 nt
Filed under: uncultured Glomeromycotina
Lineage: Eukaryota; Fungi; Glomeromycota
Description: SSU rRNA
Rfam family: Eukaryotic small subunit ribosomal RNA
Source: RNAcentral
AGCAGCCGCGGUAAUUCCAGCUCCAAUAGCGUAUAUUAAAGUUGUUGCAGUUAAAAAGCUCGUAGUUGAAUUUCGGGAUCAGUACGCCGGUCGUGCCUCUGGUAUGUACUGGUGUUACUGGUUCCUACCUUCUGACGAACUGUCAUGUCAUUAAUUUGGUGUGGCGGGGAAUCAGGACUGUUACUUUGAAAAAUUAGAGUGUUUAAAGCAGGCUCGCGCUUGAAUACAUUAGCAUGGAAUAAUGAAAUAGGACGUUCGAUCCUAUUUUGUUGGUUUCUAGGAUUGACGUAAUGAUUAAUAGGGAUAGUUGGGGGCAUUAGUAUUCAAUUGUCAGAGGUGAAAUUCUUGGAUUUAUUGAAGACUAACUACUGCGAAAGCAUUUGCCAAGGAUGUUUUCAUUAAUCAAGAACGAAAGUUAGGGGAUCGAAGACGAUCAGAUACCGUCGUAGU